AGUGAACGCUGGCGGUAGGCCUAACACAUGCAAGUCGAACGGCAGCACAGUAAGAGCUUGCUCUUACGGGUGGCGAGUGGCGGACGGGUGAGGAAUACAUCGGAAUCUACUUUUUCGUGGGGGAUAACGUAGGGAAACUUACGCUAAUACCGCAUACGACCUACGGGUGAAAGCAGGGGAUCUUCGGACCUUUCGCGAUUGAAUGAGCCGAUGUCGGAUUAGCUAGUUGGCGGGGUAAAGGCCCACCAAGGCGACGAUCCGUAGCUGGUCUGAGAGGAUGAUCAGCCACACUGGAACUGAGCCACGGUCCAGACUCCUACGGGAGGCAGCAGUGGGGAAUAUUGGACAAUGGGCGCAAGCCUGAUCCAGCCAUACCGCGUGGGUGAAGAAGGCCUUCGGGUUGUAAAGCCCUUUUGUUGGGAAAGAAAAGCAGCAGGUUAAUACCCCGCUGUUCUGACGGUACCCAAAGAAUAAGCACCGGCUAACUUCGUG
This 492-nucleotide ribosomal RNA is filed under the name uncultured bacterium. RNAcentral describes it as "partial 16S ribosomal RNA". It matches the Rfam family "Bacterial small subunit ribosomal RNA", at positions 29 to 507 of the family's 1533-position model. The record is from RNAcentral.